This is a long non-coding RNA of Nicotiana attenuata, 228 nucleotides long. RefSeq lists it as uncharacterized. Lineage: Eukaryota; Viridiplantae; Streptophyta; Magnoliopsida; Solanales; Solanaceae. The record is from RefSeq and is a predicted model, not a curated record. The transcript has 3 exons.
AGGUUCUAAAUAAAGAUAGUGUGAUUCAUCCACAUCAAUACUUAGAGCUCAAUUCUAGUUCUAAUCAAUGAUCUCAUGCCUUAUUCGAUGUAGAUUUUGAAUUUGUUUACCAGUGCUUCCAAGAAUCAGUGUUCAGCUGCGGUUGGCUUCAAGUGGAUGCUUAAUCAGGAUAUCACAAGUGUGGAGAGAAAAAGUCUUGCUAAUACAUAUGAGAUGGAGAAAAAGAGG